GACGAACGCUGGCGGCGUGCUUAACACAUGCCAGUCGAACGGAAAGGCCCUGCUUUUGUGGGGUGCUCGAGUGGCGAACGGGUGAGUAACACGUGAGUAACCUGUCCUUGACUUUGGGAUAACUUCAGGAAACUGGGGCUAAUACCGGAUAGGAGCUCCUGCUGCAUGGUGGGGGUUGGAAAGUUUCGGCGGUUGGGGAUGGACUCGCGGCUUAUCAGCUUGUUGGUGGGGUCGUGGCUUACCAAGGCUUUGACGGGUAGCCGGCCUGAGAGGGUGACCGGCCACAUUAGGACUGAGAUACGGCCCAGACUCCUACGGGAGGCAACAGUGGGGAAUAUUGCACAAUGGGCGGAAGCCUGAUGCAGCAACGCCGCGUGCGGGAUGACGGCCUUCGGGUUGUAAACCGCUUUCGCCUGUGACGAAGCGUGAGUGACGGUAAUGGGUAAAGAAGCACCGGCUAACUACGUG
This 468-nucleotide ribosomal RNA is filed under the name uncultured bacterium. RNAcentral describes it as "partial 16S ribosomal RNA". It matches the Rfam family "Bacterial small subunit ribosomal RNA", at positions 28 to 507 of the family's 1533-position model. The record is from RNAcentral.